Molecule: transfer RNA, 56 nt
Filed under: Chilatherina fasciata (barred rainbowfish)
Lineage: Eukaryota; Metazoa; Chordata; Actinopteri; Atheriniformes; Melanotaeniidae
Description: tRNA-Val
Source: RNAcentral
CCCUUACACCGAGAAGUCAUCCGUGCAAAUCGGAUAACUCUGACGCCCACUAGCUA